This 665-nucleotide unclassified non-coding RNA is filed under the name uncultured Prochlorococcus sp. Its description in RNAcentral is "partial may contain 16S ribosomal RNA, 16S-23S ribosomal RNA intergenic spacer, and 23S ribosomal RNA". The stretch from base 1 to 94 matches the Rfam family "Bacterial small subunit ribosomal RNA", at positions 1440 to 1533 of the family's 1533-position model. The record is from RNAcentral. Lineage: Bacteria; Bacillati; Cyanobacteriota; Cyanophyceae; Synechococcales; Prochlorococcaceae.
CCUGUGGAGGAGGACGCCGAAGGUGGGGCUAAUGACUGGGGUGAAGUCGUAACAAGGUAGCCGUACCGGAAGGUGCGGCUGGAUCACCUCCUAACAGGGAGACAACAAAAUGUUAAAUAUUAAUUUUGUCACCUUAGGUCGAUCGGUAUCUCACAUUCUUAAUUUAUUAAGGAUUUUAUUUCCUAAGUUUUUUCUAGGUCACACCCAUUACUUUUCCUGGGCCAUUAGCUCAGGUGGUUAGAGCGCACCCCUGAUAAGGGUGAGGUCCCUGGUUCAAGUCCAGGAUGGCCCAUAUCUCUAUGUUGGGGGUAUAGCUCAGUUGGUAGAGCGCCUGCUUUGCAAGCAGGAUGUCAGCGGUUCGAGUCCGCUUACCUCCACUGAUUACCACCUCUUCCAUAAUUUUUGGAAUUGUUUUGAGUUGUGAUCAAAAUCUGAACGAAUCUAGCUUCCUAAUCAAACUUAUUAAGAUGCUGGACUCAUUGAAUUAAUUUCAUUGUUUUCAGAGAACCUUGACAACUGCAUAGAUUAUUUUUAAAGACAAUAAGCAUCUUUAAUGAUGCAGAUUUAUUAUUUGUGCGAAUGCAUUAAUAACAAUUCUAUUAAGCUGAUGCUUCAAUUUUUGAAGUUAUUGGUCAAGCUACAAAGGGCUCACGGAGGAUACCUAG